UGCCAACUUGCGGGGUGCCCGGCAUAGCCGAGCUGAGAUAGACCCGUUGACCUGAUCCGGUUAGUACCGGCGUAGGGAACAAGGCCAGUCCGGGGU
Molecule: non-coding RNA, 96 nt
Filed under: Simiduia agarivorans
Lineage: Bacteria; Pseudomonadati; Pseudomonadota; Gammaproteobacteria; Cellvibrionales; Cellvibrionaceae
Also listed under: 1 other name
Description: TPP sequence
Rfam family: TPP riboswitch aptamer (THI element)
About the family: Vitamin B(1) in its active form thiamin pyrophosphate (TPP) is an essential coenzyme that is synthesised by coupling of pyrimidine and thiazole moieties in bacteria. The previously detected thiamin-regulatory element, thi box was extended, resulting in a new, highly conserved RNA secondary structure, the THI element, which is widely distributed in eubacteria and also occurs in some archaea. Analysis of operon structures identified a large number of new candidate thiamin-regulated genes, mostly transporters, in various prokaryotic organisms.
Source: RNAcentral